Long non-coding RNA from Dendrobium catenatum, 83 nucleotides. RefSeq lists it as uncharacterized. NCBI's taxonomy places the organism in Eukaryota, Viridiplantae, Streptophyta, Magnoliopsida, Asparagales, Orchidaceae. The record is from RefSeq and is a predicted model, not a curated record. The transcript has 2 exons.
UUGUAACUAUGGGAACUGGACCUAUGGAGCAGGUGUUGGCAAUGAUCCUAGAGAAGACCGUUAUUUUAGCAUCCCAAAGCAAG